Molecule: ribosomal RNA, 304 nt
Filed under: uncultured bacterium
Lineage: Bacteria
Description: bacterial SSU rRNA
Rfam family: Bacterial small subunit ribosomal RNA
Source: RNAcentral
GUGCCUCAAACAUGCAAGUCGAGCGUGGGUGCAUUCUCUCGCAAGAGAGAGUGCACUCUAGCGGCGAACGGGUGAGUAACACGUGGGGAACCUGCCCUCCAGACGGGGACAACCUCGGGAAACCGGGGCUAAUACCGGAUACGUUCGCCGGGUCGCAUGGCCUGGCGAGGAAAGGGUCGCAAGAUCGCUGGAGGAGGGCCCCGCGGCCUAUCAGCUUGUUGGUGGGGUAACGGCCUACCAAGGCGAUGACGGGUAGCUGGCCUGAGAGGGUGGUCAGCCACACUGGAACUGAGACACGGUCCAG